This 22-nucleotide microRNA is filed under the name Arabidopsis lyrata. Its description in RNAcentral is "aly-miR868-5p". Its record names the gene aly-miR868-5p. The record is from miRBase by way of RNAcentral. Lineage: Eukaryota; Viridiplantae; Streptophyta; Magnoliopsida; Brassicales; Brassicaceae.
CUUUCUCGGCACUUGAGGAUGU